This 468-nucleotide ribosomal RNA is filed under the name uncultured bacterium. RNAcentral describes it as "partial 16S ribosomal RNA". It matches the Rfam family "Bacterial small subunit ribosomal RNA", at positions 28 to 507 of the family's 1533-position model. The record is from RNAcentral.
GACGAACGCUGGCGGCGUGCUUAACACAUGCAAGUCGAACGGAAAGGCCCUGCUUUUGUGGGGUGCUCGAGUGGCGAACGGGUGAGUAACACGUGAGUAACCUGCCCUUGACUUUGGGAUAACUUCAGGAAACUGGGGCUAAUACCGGAUAGGAGCUCCUGCUGCAUGGUGGGGGUUGGAAAGUUUCGGCGGUUGGGGAUGGACUCGCGGCUUAUCAGCUUGUUGGUGGGGUAGUGGCUUACCAAGGCUUUGACGGGUAGCCGGCCUGAGAGGGUGACCGGCCACAUUGGGACGGAGAUACGGCCCAGACUCCUACGGGAGGCAGCAGUGGAGAAUAUUGCACAAUGGGCGGAAGCCUGAUGCAGCAACGCCGCGUGCGGGAUGACGGCCUUCGGGUUGUAAACCGCUUUCGCCUGUGACGAAGCGUGAGUGACGGUAAUGGGUAAAGAAGCACCGGCUAACUACGUG